Molecule: long non-coding RNA, 349 nt
Filed under: Lactuca sativa (garden lettuce)
Lineage: Eukaryota; Viridiplantae; Streptophyta; Magnoliopsida; Asterales; Asteraceae
Description: long non-coding RNA (LSAT_LNC005750)
Source: RNAcentral
GUGGUGACGGCCGGAGAAGGUGCUCCAGUAGGUGGUGCUGGUGGGCUCGAAGUUAAGGGAGAUGGUGCAGCCGAUGGAGUCACGACUGGGGAAGAGACUGGGACGGGAGCUGGUGGUGGUGAAGCUGCAGGAGGAGGAGUGGCUGCUGGUGGUGGUGACGCGACAGGAGGGGGAGUGGCUACAGGUGGUGGUGAGGCAACAGGAGGUGGAGUGGCUACAGGUGGUGGUGAGGAUACAGGAGGUGGAGUGGCUACAGGUGGUGGUGAGCUGACUGGCGGAGGAGUGGCAACGGGUGGAGGAGUUGAGACAGGUGGCGAUGCGACGGUUGGUGGUGGNNNNNNNNNNNNNN